CGCACCUGAAGCUGGUGAUAUGCAGCUUCCCAGUAAGACCUCAGGAGUUGGGCGAGUGGGCUCAAGCACAUUAAGAAGCAAAGUGGUGAAGUUUAACUGGUAUGUGACCUUCCGCUGGAACGCUCGGCUGGCAAGGGAAGAGCACCUCAAGUGAGCAUGUGUACAAUUUCAGGGCACACAUUGUGCACGCAGCCCCUCCCACAUGCUGGCAGGCCACGGCGCGCGUGACAGCCCACCCCAAGAGAAGAAUCACAGGAGAAGAGACGCAGACCCCGGAACCAUGCCAAUGUAUAAAAACCCAAGUCAAAAGUCAAACUGUGCACUGGAAUCUUUCAAGUCGCCCACUUGACCCUCUUCCAAGUGUACUUUACUUCCUUUUGUUCCUACUCUAAAACUGUUUAAUCAACUUUCACUUGUGCUCUAAAACCUGCCUCAGCCCCUCACUCUGCCUCAUGCCCCUCAGAUGAGUUCUUUCCUUUGAGGAGGGAGGAAUUGAGUUACUUCAGGCCCGGAUGGAUCCACCGCUGCUGACGUACUUUGGUGCUGACAUACUUUGGUGCCGUGACUCGGAUACAUUCCCUAGAGGUUGCCCUCGGAACACCCUCCCAGGUAACUGCCAUCGCUGCGGGAAGCCAGGCCACUGGAAGGCAGACUGCAUCAGUCGGACAAAUGGGAGGAAGCUCCACACAGCUGGCCCCCUCCGCCACACUCAGCCAGUGGAACAGGACUGCCCUGAGGGCUGAAGGGCCCUGGGACAGAUUCUCAACCCCUGACGACUUUCAGCUGAAGGAAGUGUCUGCACAGCUGGCCUCCAAGUCAGACAUCGUAUAAAUUAACAAAUUUCCUUGUCAAUUGUGUCUAACUGCGGCUGCCCCAAGACUUAUCAUACACAGACAAUUGUUGCUUCAUUUUAAUCCCCUUUAAAAGAUGGUUUUAUAAUCAAUAUAGGACUCUAAUAACAAGUGCUCUUAAGUCACCUGCCCCAGAGGGGAGGCUUGAGUGACACCUGGAGCUCCUGCACCAUGGGGGAGACAUGAGUGACACCUGAGCACCUGUAUCUUGUAGGAGGUCUGGGUGUGACGUGAGCCCCUGCAGCACAGGGGAGGCUUCAGGAACACCUGGAGCACUGGCAUCUCACAGGAAGGAGGCUUGGGUGUGACCUGAGCACCUGCACCACGGGAGAGGCUUGGGUAGCGUGUGGACACCUAGACCACAGGGAGGCCUGGGAACUGCCUGAGCACCUGCACCACGGGAGAGGCUUGGGUGACACUUGGGCACCUGCACCCAACACAGGUAGCAGUGAUCACAGUGAAAACAUUUUGUUAGCAGUCGUCUGCUUCCUGUCCUGGCAUGAGCAGCAACGGGUAAAGGGCACUCUUGUCAGCUGAGGGGAUGAGUGGGGCUCUGCCCAGCUGGUUGGAGACUCCAGCAGGUUUGCAGGAGGAGACGGAAGAGCAAGGAGUGGAGGCAAAAACUGCUGCCAAGAUCCUGUGGGAAAACAGGAACCCAAAGAAGGAACUCCAAUGGGAAACUAAUUUAGACAACAAUGAUCUUAAAGUGUUUGCUCCUUCGAGACUGUUGAAAAGAACUCCCACGAGUGAACAAAAGACGCCUGGCCGAGGACACUCCAGAGUGCUGUCACGAGGGUUCCCUGCAGUUUUCAGAAACUUGGAGCAUGUGGCCACAGCGGCUUGCACGUGAUUCAUACGGCACAUCUUGUCACCAUGUAAAUGUUUAUCAGCAGAGACAAAGACCAGAAGAGCAACCUUGGAAAGAGCUAAAUAUUCCGAUGUUCCAGCAUUUUCCCCUCUGGUUUGUAUUCUGAAUUUUUAAAAUCUCGAUUGACAAGUUCU
RNAcentral lists this long non-coding RNA (1853 nucleotides) under Pan troglodytes (chimpanzee). RNAcentral's name for it is "long non-coding RNA NONPTRT009422". Lineage: Eukaryota; Metazoa; Chordata; Mammalia; Primates; Hominidae. The record is from RNAcentral.